Molecule: ribosomal RNA, 2802 nt
Filed under: uncultured bacterium AD347-E12
Lineage: Bacteria
Description: bacterial LSU rRNA
Rfam family: Bacterial large subunit ribosomal RNA
Source: RNAcentral
AGGGCAUUUGGUGGAUGCCUUGGCACCGAAAGGCGAUGAAGGACGUGGCACCCUGCGAUAAGCCUCGGGGAAUUGGGAGCAAAUUUUGAUCCGAGGAUUUCCGAAUGGGGAAACCCGACCCAUUGGGUCAUUUCGCGCUGAAUACAUAGGCGCGGAAAGCGAACCCGGCGAACUGAAACAUCUCAUUAGCCGGAGGAAAGGACAUCAACCGAGACUCUGUUAGUAGCGGCGAGCGAACGCGGACCAGGCCAGUGGCCAUUGUGUAAGAACCGGAACCGGCUGGAAAGCUGGGCCAUAGUGGGUGACAGCCCCGUACGGGUAGAAAGCAUGAUGGUCCUCGAGUAGGGCGGGACACGAGAAAUCUUGUCUGAACUUGGGGGGACCACCCUCCAAGCCUAAGUACUCUUCGGUGACCGAUAGUGUACCAGUACCGUGAGGGAAAGGUGAAAAGCACCCCGACGAGGGGAGUGAAACAGUUCCUGAAACCGAAUGCCUACAAGCAGUGGGAGCCUCUUCAUGGGGUGACCGCGUACCUUUUGUAUAAUGGGUCAGCGAGUUCGUCUGUGCGGCAAGCUUAAGCCAUUAGGUGUAGGCGUAGCGAAAGCGAGUCUGAAUAGGGCGUUUAGUCGUACGGAUGAGACCCGAACCCGGGUGAUCUAGCCAUGGGCAGGUUGAAGGUGGGGUAAAACCCACUGGAGGACCGAACCCACCGACGUUGAAAAGUCGGGGGAUGACCUGUGGCUAGGGGUGAAAGGCCAAUCAAACCCGGAAAUAGCUGGUUCUCCGCGAAAUCUAUUUAGGUAGAGCGUUGUGUAUCACCGCCGGGGGUAGAGCACUGGAUAGGCUAGGGGGGCGCGAGCCUUACCAAACCUAACCAAACUCCGAAUACCGGUGAGUGGGAGCACAGCAGACAGUCCAUGGGUGCUAAGGUCCAUGGACAAGAGGGAAACAGCCCAGACCGCCAGCUAAGGUCCCUAAGUGGUGGCUAAGUGGGAAAGGAUGUGGAGCGGCCAAGACAGCCAGGAGGUUGGCUUAGAAGCAGCCAUCCUUUAAAGAAAGCGUAACAGCUCACUGGUCUAACAGCCAUUCCGCGCCGAAGAUGUACCGGGGCUCAAGCCAUCCACCGAAGCUGCGGGGUUCAGAAGUCAGUAGUCAGGAGUCAGAAGUUAGAAGUCUUCUGCGAAAGCGGAGGGUUUCCAACUUUGACCUCUGUCUUCUGGCUUCUGGACCGGUAGCGGAGCGUUCCGUAAGCCCGUGAAGGUCGGCCGCGAGGUCGGCUGGAGGUAUCGGAAGUGAGAAUGCUGACAUGAGUAACGAUAAAGAGUGUGAGAAACACUCUCGCCGAAAGUCCAAGGGUUCCUGCGCAAGGCUAAUCCGCGCAGGGUGAGCCGGCCCCUAAGGCGAGGGCGAAAGCCGUAGUCGAUGGGAACCAGGUUAAUAUUCCUGGGCCUGCCGGAGGUGACGAAUGCCGUGUAUCGUUUGUGCUUAUUGGAUUGUGCAAGCGGUGAAGGUGUUCCAGGAAAUAGCCCCGGCGUAUAGACCGUACCCUAAACCGACACAGGUGGACUGGUAGAGCAUACCAAGGCGCUUGAGAGAACGACGUUGAAGGAACUCGGCAAAAUACCCCCGUAACUUCGGGAGAAGGGGGCCCCGUGCUUGGGCAACCAGGUGUGGGGGGCACAGACCAGGGGGUGGCGACUGUUUACUAAAAACAUAGGACUCUGCUAAGUCGCAAGACGACGUAUAGGGUCUGACGCCUGCCCGGUGCCGGAAGGUUAAGGAGAGGGGUGCAAGCUCUGAACCGAAGCCCCGGUAAACGGCGGCCGUAACUAUAACGGUCCUAAGGUAGCGAAAUUCCUUGUCGGGUAAGUUCCGACCUGCACGAAUGGCGUAACGACUUCCCCGCUGUCUCCAACGUCGACUCAGUGAAAUUGAACUCUCCGUGAAGAUGCGGAGUACCCGCGGUUAGACGGAAAGACCCCGUGCACCUUUACUACAGCUUCGCACUGGUAUCGGGAUGUGGCUGUGUAGGAUAGGUGGGAGGCUUUGAAGCUGGGGCGUCAGCUCUGGUGGAGCCAGCCUUGAAAUACCACCCUUUUACUUCCUGAUAUCUAACCAUGACCCGUGAAUCCGGGUCUGGGACCGUGCGUGGUGGGUAGUUUGGCUGGGGCGGUCGCCUCCCAAAGAGUAACGGAGGCGCGCGAUGGUGGGCUCAGGCUGGUCGGAAAUCAGCUGUAGAGUGUAAUGGCAUAAGCCCGCCUGACUGUGAGACUGACAAGUCGAGCAGAGACGAAAGUCGGUCAUAGUGAUCCGGUGGUCCCGUGUGGAAGGGCCAUCGCUCAACGGAUAAAAGGUACGCCGGGGAUAACAGGCUGAUCUCCCCCAAGAGUCCAGAUCGACGGGGAGGUUUGGCACCUCGAUGUCGGCUCAUCACAUCCUGGGGCUGAAGCAGGUCCCAAGGGUUUGGCUGUUCGCCAAUUAAAGUGGUACGUGAGCUGGGUUUAGAACGUCGUGAGACAGUUCGGUCCCUAUCUGCCGUGGGUGUACGAGACUUGAGAGGAGCUGCCCUUAGUACGAGAGGACCGGGGUGGACGCACCUCUGGUGGACCGGUUGUCGCGCCAGCGGCACAGCCGGGUAGCUAAGUGCGGAAGGGAUAACCGCUGAAAGCAUCUAAGCGGGAAGCCCACCUCAAAACCAGGUCUCGCUUGAGAACCGUGGAAGACCACCACGUUGAUAGGCCGGAUGUGGAAGUGUAGCAAUGCAUGCAGCUAACCGGUACUAAUCGUUCGAUUGGCUUGAUC